This 62-nucleotide transfer RNA is filed under the name Daphnia galeata. RNAcentral describes it as "tRNA-Thr". It matches the Rfam family "tRNA". From Rfam's summary of the family: Transfer RNA (tRNA) molecules are approximately 80 nucleotides in length. The record is from RNAcentral. Lineage: Eukaryota; Metazoa; Arthropoda; Branchiopoda; Diplostraca; Daphniidae.
GUCUUAAUAGUUUAAUUAAAACCCUGGUCUUGUAAACCAGAAUUGACGUCAGUCUUAAGACU